RNAcentral lists this ribosomal RNA (601 nucleotides) under Filobasidium magnum. RNAcentral's name for it is "eukaryotic LSU rRNA". It matches the Rfam family "Eukaryotic large subunit ribosomal RNA", at positions 79 to 668 of the family's 3401-position model. Lineage: Eukaryota; Fungi; Basidiomycota; Tremellomycetes; Filobasidiales; Filobasidiaceae. The record is from RNAcentral.
CCUAGUACGGCGAGUGAGCGGGAAGAGCUCAAAUUUGAAAUCUGGUGGCCUCAGGUCAUCCGAGUUGUAAUCUAUAGAAGUGUUUUCCGUGCUGGCUCAUGUACAAGUCCCUUGGAACAGGGCGUCAUAGAGGGUGAGAAUCCCGUCCUUGACAUGAACUACCAGUGCUCUGUGAUACAUUUUCAACGAGUCGAGUUGUUUGGGAAUGCAGCUCAAAAUGGGUGGUAAAUUCCAUCUAAAGCUAAAUAUUGGCGAGAGACCGAUAGCGAACAAGUACCGUGAGGGAAAGAUGAAAAGCACUUUGGAAAGAGAGUUAAACAGUAUGUGAAAUUGUUGAAAGGGAAACGAUUGAAGUCAGUCGUGCUCUUUGGAUUCAGCCGGUUCUGCCGGUGUACUUCCUUUGAGUGGGGUCAACAUCAGUUUUGAUCGCUGGAUAAAGGCUGGAGGAACGUAGUACCCUCGGGUAAACUUAUAGCCUCCUGUCACAUACAGUGGUUGGGACUGAGGAACGCAGCACGCCUUUAUGGCCGGGAUUCGUCCACGUACGUGCUUAGGAUGUUGACAUAAUGGCUUUAAACGACCCGUCUUGAAACACGGACCA